RNAcentral lists this ribosomal RNA (883 nucleotides) under uncultured bacterium. RNAcentral describes it as "bacterial SSU rRNA". It matches the Rfam family "Bacterial small subunit ribosomal RNA", at positions 1 to 924 of the family's 1533-position model. The record is from RNAcentral.
UCGCCUUAGAGUUUGAUCCUGGCUCAGGAUGAACGCUGGCGGUAUGCUUUACACAUGCAAGUCGUACGAGAGUUUUUAACUCAAGUGGCGGACGGGUGAGUAACACGUAAGAAUUUGCCUUUAGGAGGGGGAUAACAACUGGAAACGGUUGCUAAUACCCCAUAUGCUUUCGAGUAAAAUGGAUUUUCCGCCUAAAGAGAAGCUUGCGGCUGAUUAGCUUGUUGGUGAGGUAAUGGCUCACCAAGGCGACGAUCAGUAUCUGGUUUGAGAGGACGAUCAGACACACUGGAACUGAGACACGGUCCAGACUCCUACGGGAGGCAGCAGUGGGGAAUUUUCCGCAAUGGGCGAAAGCCUGACGGAGCAAUACCGCGUGAGGGAUGACGGCCUAUGGGUUGUAAACCUCUUUUUUCAGGGAGGAAUCAAUGACGUGUACCUGAAGAAUAAGCAUCGGCUAACUCCGUGCCAGCAGCCGCGGUAAGACGGAGGAUGCAAGUGUUAUCCGGAAUCACUGGGCGUAAAGCGUCUGUAGGUGGUCAAAUAAGUCAACUGUUAAAUCUUGAGGCUCAACCUCAAAAUCGCAGUCGAAACUAUUCGACUAGAGUAUAGUAGGGGUAAAGGGAAUUUCCAGUGGAGCGGUGAAAUGCGUAGAGAUUGGAAAGAACACCGAUGGCGAAGGCACUUUACUGGGCUAUUACUAACACUGAGAGACGAAAGCUAGGGUAGCAAAUGGGAUUAGAUACCCCAGUAGUCCUAGCCGUAAACAAUGGAUACUAGAUGUUGAACAGAUCGACCUGUGCAGUAUCAAAGCUAACGCGUUAAGUAUCCCGCCUGGGAAGUAUGCUCGCAAGAGUGAAACUCAAAUGAAUUGACGGGGAAGGGC